Molecule: ribosomal RNA, 468 nt
Filed under: uncultured bacterium
Lineage: Bacteria
Description: partial 16S ribosomal RNA
Rfam family: Bacterial small subunit ribosomal RNA
Source: RNAcentral
GACGAACGCUGGCGGCGUGCUUAACACAUGCAAGUCGAGCGAACAGGCGCUGCGUUUGUUGGGUUCUCGAGUGGCGAACAGGUGAGUAACACAUGAGUAACCUGCCCUUGACUUUGUGAUAACUUCAGGAAACUGCGGCUAAUACCGGGUAUGAGCUCCUGCUGCAUAUGGGUGGUUGGAAAGAUUCGGCGGUUGUGGCUGGUCUGGAUGGUUAUCAGCUUCUUUGUGUGGUAGUUGCUUACCACGGUUUUGACGGGUAGCCGGCCUGAGAGGGUGACCGGCCACCAUGGGACUGAGAUACGGACCAGACGCCUACGGGACGCAGCAGUGGGGAAUAUUGCACAAUGGGCGGAAGCCUGAUGUAGAAACGCCGCGUGCGGGAUGCCGGCCUUCGGGGUGUAAACAGAUUUCGACUGUGACGAAGAGUGAGUGACGGUAAUGGGUAAAGAAGCCACGGCUAACUACGUG